Molecule: ribosomal RNA, 447 nt
Filed under: uncultured organism
Description: partial 16S ribosomal RNA
Rfam family: Bacterial small subunit ribosomal RNA
Source: RNAcentral
ACACUCCUACGGGAGGCAGCAGUGGGGAAUAUUGGACAAUGGGCGCAAGCCUGAUCCAGCCAUGCCGCGUGAGUGAUGAAGGCCCUAGGGUUGUAAAGCUCUUUCACCGGUGAAGAUAAUGACGGUAACCGGAGAAGAAGCCCCGGCUAACUUCGUGCCAGCAGCCGCGGUAAUACGAAGGGGGCUAGCGUUGUUCGGAUUUACUGGGCGUAAAGCGCACGUAGGCGGACUAUUAAGUCAGGGGUGAAAUCCCGGGGCUCAACCCCGGAACUGCCUUUGAUACUGGUAGUCUUGAGUUCGAGAGAGGUGAGUGGAAUUCCGAGUGGAGAGGUGAAAUUCGUAGAUAUUCGGAGGAACACCAGUGGCGAAGGCGGCUCACUGGCUCGAUACUGACGCUGAGGUGCGAAAGCGUGGGGAGCAAACAGGAUUAGAAACCCCGGUAGUCCC